UUUUUGUGGUUUUGGAUGGACUCGCGGCCUAUCAGCUUGUUGGUGAGGUAAUGGCUUACCAAGGCGACGACGGGUAGCCGGCCUGAGAGGGUGACCGGCCACACUGGGAYUGAGACACGGCCCAGACUCCUACGGGAGGCAGCAGUGGGGAAUAUUGCACAAUGGGCGCAAGCCUGAUGCAGCGACGCCGCGUGAGGGAUGACGGCCUUCGGGUUGUAAACCUCUUUCAGUAGGGAAGAAGCGAAAGUGACGGUACCUGCAGAAGAAGCGCCGGCUAACUACGUGCCAGCAGCCGCGGUAAUACGUAGGGCGCAAGCGUUAUCCGGAAUUAUUGGGCGUAAAGAGCUCGUAGGCGGUUUGUCGCGUCUGCCGUGAAAGUCCGGGGCUCAACUCCGGAUCUGCGGUGGGUACGGGCAGACUAGAGUGAUGUAGGGGAGACUGGAAUUCCUGGUGUAGCGGUGAAAUGCGCAGAUAUCAGGAGGAACACCGAUGGCGAAGGCAGGUCUCUGGGCAUUAACUGACGCUGAGGAGCGAAAGCAUGGGGAGCGAACAGGAUUAGAUACCCUGGUAGUCCAUGCCGUAAACGUUGGGCACUAGGUGUGGGGGACAUUCCACGUUUUCCGCGCCGUAGCUAACGCAUUAAGUGCCCCGCCUGGGGAGUACGGCCGCAAGGCUAAAACUCAAAGGAAUUGACGGGGGCCCGCACAAGCGGCGGAGCAUGCGGAUUAAUUCGAUGCAACGCGAAGAACCUUACCAAGGCUUGACAUGGACCGGACCGCCGCAGAAAUGUGGUUUCCCCUUUGGGGCUGGUUUACAGGUGGUGCAUGGUUGUCGUCAGCUCGUGUCGUGAGAUGUUGGGUUAAGUCCCGCAACGAGCGCAACCCUCGUUCUAUGUUGCCAGCACGUGAUGGUGGG
Molecule: ribosomal RNA, 915 nt
Filed under: uncultured bacterium
Lineage: Bacteria
Description: bacterial SSU rRNA
Rfam family: Bacterial small subunit ribosomal RNA
Source: RNAcentral